RNAcentral lists this ribosomal RNA (524 nucleotides) under uncultured bacterium. RNAcentral describes it as "bacterial SSU rRNA". It matches the Rfam family "Bacterial small subunit ribosomal RNA", at positions 355 to 896 of the family's 1533-position model. The record is from RNAcentral.
UGGGGAAUCUUGGACAAUGGGGGAAACCCUGAUCCAGCCAUGCCGCGUGAGUGAUGAAGGCCUUCGGGUUGUAAAACUCUUUCGCGCGCGACGAUAAUGACGGUAGCGCGAGAAGAAGCUCCGGCUAACUUCGUGCCAGCAGCCGCGGUAAUACGAAGGGGGCUAGCGUUGUUCGGAAUUACUGGGCGUAAAGCGCGCGCAGGCGGCUUCGCAAGUCAGUGGUGAAAUCCCAGAGCUUAACUCCGGAAUUGCCAUUGAGACUGCAAAGCUUCGAGUACGGGAGAGGUGAGUGGAAUUCCCAGUGUAGAGGUGAAAUUCGUAGAUAUUGGGAAGAACACCGGUGGCGAAGGCGGCUCACUGGCCCGUUACUGACGCUCAGGCGCGACAGCGUGGGGAUCAAACAGGAUUAGAUACCCUGGUAGUCCACGCUGUAAACGAUGAGUGCUAGAUGUUGGGUGGUUUACCACUCAGUGUCGCAGCUAACACAUUAAGCACUCCGCCUGGGGAGUACGGUCGCAAGAUUA